GGGAACCUGUUUUUAUUUCCAAAUGUGGUGAACUUAUUUUGAUGAACAGCGAAUCUGAACAUUCUCUGCUCUCCUACAGUUUGUUAAAUAAUUUGCAUCAAGUACUUUUUUCAACAGAGCUCUGGUAAUGGCAAUAAAGCAUUUUUUUUUUUUUUUUUUUUUUUUGGAAAAAAAAAAAAAAAAAACAUUUGCCAGGUUUUUUUUUUUUUUUUUUUCUUUCAAACUGCAGCUGGACAAGCAUCUUAACUGCCUUUAUUUGAGACAAUGCAGUGGUCAUGCCUCUCUUAAUCAUGGAAGUUCCGCAGGAACCAUCAGCUCUCACAAGAGCAUUUCACUAUUACACAGUCAGAACCUGGUGCAACAGCUUCUCAAGUCAAAAACUGAGAGGGAAGAAGCGGGGUGACCACUGUGGCGUGAAGAGGGGACGCAGAAAUCCCAUCUCCCCUGCCUCGUAGUACCGCCACUCCCUUCCAAUGAUGCUGCCGUUGCUCAAACGUCCUGCAUGCCGCCUCUGGUGCUACCCACGGUACUUCCUCUCCAAACAGACGGAGAAGUGUUUCAAGGCGUAGGUAAUCACCACUGGUGACUCUGUGAGGGGUCCAACUAGAUAGGAUUUUUCUUUUUCGUUACGGCAGAUUCAAAGAUAAGGAGACAAGUUUUCUUUCACAGCUAAGUCAUCAACUACUCAGAAGGGGAAUCCACGGGAUAAAGUCUCAGAGUUUUUGAGCAAUGCCAGCAUAAUGGGGGGGAGGUUCAAAACAUCCAGCUGAUUAUGGAAGGACACUUCCGGUUCUAAUUGGUGGGAUAGGUUUGUGUAACAACAAAACAAAAGAAAAAUCGCUGAAAUUUUAUCUCAUGUUAUAUGGG
Molecule: long non-coding RNA, 867 nt
Organism: Herpailurus yagouaroundi (jaguarundi)
Lineage: Eukaryota; Metazoa; Chordata; Mammalia; Carnivora; Felidae
Exons: 2
Source: RefSeq, a predicted model, not a curated record